UUACUUAUAUUUAAGAGAAUAUUUUCCAUUAAUAAACGUUAAAAGCUUUCCUCUUAAGCUUAGAUGAUUAUGCAUAAAGAUAAUAUUCUUCCUCCAUCUAUAAAACCGGGUCCUUUGAUAUUCCUAGCAAGUGCAUCAACGUGAGAACGACUCAAAGAAAAACCAUAUUCUUAAUAAUAGACAUGGCUGAUGAAUCCAAGAGUUUUGUUGUUGGUGUGCCAAAUAGCAAAAAUAUUAAUAAUGGUGAAACACAAAAAAAUCAUCCAAGAAUGCCACCUACUUCAUUUCCAAUUCCUUUACCCGGAAGGAAUCGUUAUAGUAGCUACUACAAUUACAAUUGGGGUUGGAGACAAAGGUUCAAUCAAAUAGGCCACAAUAAAGGCAACUCUAAUGGGGAAAAUGAGAAAUCAACUUUGAAGACUUAAAAAGCUCACUCAAGGGAAGGGUAACACUAUAGUCAUGAAUAAUUUAUGUUGCCUUGAAUAUAUGUAGUUUACUAUGUAUAUUGUAUAUAUAUUUUAAGCACUUUUAUUUAGACGAGUACAAAUUUGAGGCAACAUAUGGUGGAAAAUAGACAUGUGAAAAAUAUGUCAUGUGUUAUUAGAAGAAUACUUUUCUUAAAAUAGAUAAAUAAAUAAGACGUACUUGUGUUUUUUUUUCUUUCUUUUUUGGUAGAAUAUGUACUUGUAUUUUAAGAGCUUGAUAACUUGAGAAUGAGAACUUUUAUUUAUUGUUGUUAUGUACUAGAAAUUUUCUAGUGGUCGUUAAUUUGGUUUUGCACCAAUAUCCCUCUAUGUUGCUUGAAUGAUGCUGGUUUCAUGAUCCAAUAUUAAUUGGGUUUGCUUUUCUCCUUAAUUAAUUGAGGACCUAUACCUUGUGUUUAUAUAUCUUUAAAAAAAAAUUAAAAAAAUCAUUGUACUUAUUCAGUAUAUGCA
RNAcentral lists this long non-coding RNA (935 nucleotides) under Cicer arietinum (chickpea). RNAcentral's name for it is "long non-coding RNA (CARI_LNC000142)". Lineage: Eukaryota; Viridiplantae; Streptophyta; Magnoliopsida; Fabales; Fabaceae. The record is from RNAcentral.